RNAcentral lists this long non-coding RNA (798 nucleotides) under Salmo trutta (river trout). RNAcentral describes it as "lncRNA (ENSSTUG00000047798.1)". Lineage: Eukaryota; Metazoa; Chordata; Actinopteri; Salmoniformes; Salmonidae. The record is from RNAcentral.
AUUUCCUGUCCUGGAGAGAAAAUGCACAUUAAAGUUCCACCUCCGAAGAAUGACGAAAGCUAAAGUUACUUAUUUAUUCACGAAUUUGGGUGGCCUGGUAUGAAGAUGGCAGGAUGUUACUGAUUCUGAUGAUGUGUGAGGAUCCCCUGGCUCUGCUGACCAAGAUUGGGGAGUGGCACAGUUUUGUCUCAUCUGGCACACUCUUGUCCCUAAAUCUAUAUGAUAGACCAUCUUUGUCCUUCCAUCCUCCAGGAUUCCGGGCUACACCAGCAGCCUCCUCUUCAUGCUCAUCUUCUUAGUUGUGGUCAAGAAAUGGGACAUCCCCGCCCCCUACCAAGCCAUGUGACCAGAUAUCGAAUUCCUUCGGAAUCGGAAUGUACGCCCAAACUCUGUCAUCUCCAGUAAGGCUCUGUUUCUGCUGAUCUUCAGCCUGUUUGUGAGACUGCUCAGUCUGUGUCAUCGUGGUCACCUGGGCAGAGAACCCCUGAACAGGACCACAUGACCAGACAAACCAUGUACCUGCUCCAUGGAGCCUAAAGGGAAAAAUGCUGUCAAAUAAAUCAUAUUUGGCAGCACAACAGGGCGCUAUGACCACCAAACAGGUCAGUGGUAGGACCACAAGAUCACUGCAUAAGACUGCCCAGUUACUGAAUGUUGCUCUAUGAUGUAUUGAGUGAAUAUACUAUACACUCCUCUAUACAGCACCUCCGCUAUCCAUAGAAGAAAAGUCAUUCAAAUGCUUAUCAACUAUUUCAUUUAUAUGAUCCAUUUAUUGUACUGUAAAAUGUUAAAUUAAAG